This is a long non-coding RNA of Tympanuchus pallidicinctus (lesser prairie-chicken), 723 nucleotides long. RefSeq lists it as uncharacterized. The record is from RefSeq and is a predicted model, not a curated record. The transcript has 5 exons. NCBI's taxonomy places the organism in Eukaryota, Metazoa, Chordata, Aves, Galliformes, Phasianidae.
GUGGAGAAGGAUGUAACUAAUGGACCUUUGAGCUGAACCAUCACGGAAAACUUAUGUUUUCAUAUACAUUAGUAAAAGACGUUUUUUAAAUCUCAUUUUGUGACGUUGCACAGAUUCCUGUGAGAAAAAUAUUCAGCGUUGGUUCUCUCAUAUUUAUGAUGCAUCAGAAACCUAAUGAACAUCCAGCAAACCAUGGACUGCACAUGGAUGAAGACUUCUUUGGUGUGUAUGAGAAGGCUGCUUCACGGCCAAGGAGCUGCAGAGCUUUCCAGUGAUGCAUGCAGUCCCUCCUAGAGAUGGACAAGCAAACCCUGCCUUCCAGAACCAAGGUUUCUCUCUCUGGGAUACCAGCACCUUGUAUGUCCACCCAGAAGAUGCAAAGACUAUAAGCUCACAGCAUGGGAGAAUGGGUAUCAUCUCAAGAUGAAUUCUGUGGAUUGCCCAUAAAGCAGAGCCUUGACCUAAGAGGAGCCCUGCAGAGGAAGUGGACACUGGAAGCUCAAGGGGAAGGGAUCUUGCUCUGUGAAGGUAUAGCUUCUGCAUGUAAAGAGGGAGCAUGAUGGUCUGGGCUAUGGACUCUGAAGGGGGAAACCCUGCUCCUUGCUUGGGCUGCUGCCAGUACACCCCACAGCUCUCCACAUCAGAAUCGAAUGCUUUCAGUGCAGAUAAUGCACAUGAAGGUACAAUACAGCCAGUUGUCUGAGAAAAGAAGCCCGUUUUCUU